RNAcentral lists this long non-coding RNA (3185 nucleotides) under Marmota monax (woodchuck). Lineage: Eukaryota; Metazoa; Chordata; Mammalia; Rodentia; Sciuridae. The record is from RNAcentral.
GUUGAACAACUUUCUAGAUGCUUAUUGGAUCGAGCAUAGCUUCUUUGGAAAAAUAGCUACUCAAGUCAUUUAUUCAUUUCUCUAUUUUGUUAUGAGUUAUCAAUUCUGAAUAUUAGCACAUUCAGAAUUCUAUAUUUGUUAUGAGUUGUCAAUUCUGAAUAUUAGAAUAUUCAGAAUAUUAGACCUCAUCGGGUCUAUGAUUUGUAAAUACCAUUUCCUAGUCUGUGAAUUGUGGUGGUGGUUUUUCAGUUUCUAGACAGUUGUGCAAAAUUUUUUUUAGAAAUAGUUUUAGGGCCAGGUGCAGUGGUGCAUGCCUAUAAUUCCAGCAGCUUGGGAGGCUUAGUCAGGAGGAUUGUGAGUUCAAAGCCACCCUCAGCUAUUGCAAGGCACUAAACAAACAAACAAGAAAAGAAUUCCAUUUACAAUAAUUUUUUGGGGGGGCAGGUACCAGGGAUUGAACCCAGGGGUGCUUAACCACUGAGCCACAUCCCCAGCCCUAUUUUGUAUUUUAUUUAGAGACAGGGUCUCACUGACUUGCUUAGUGCCUUGCCAUUGCUGAGGCUGGCUUUAAUCCUGCCUCAGCCUCCCAAGCUGCUGGGAUUACAGGUGCACACCACUGAGCCCAGCUAAUUGUGAUAUUAACUGUGGAUUUUUCAAAGAUGACCUUUAUGAGGUUGAAUAAGUUCCUUUCUUAUCCCUAAUUUUUUGAAUAUUUUUUAUUAUGAAAAGCUAUUGGAUUCUGUCUUGUGUAUAUUCUAUGUGUGUGUGUUUCUGAGAUGAUUGUUUUAUUAUUGAUAAUGGUCUAGUACAUUGAUUUUUGAAUGGUAAACCUUGCUUUCCUGGGAUCAACCUAACUUGAUUAUAGUAUGUGAUUCUUUUUAGGUGCUGUACAUUUCAGUUUGCUGGGAUUUUUGCUGAAGUUUUUGCAUAUAUACUUAUAAAAGUCAUUGUUCUCUAGGUUGUUGUUGGUGUGUGUGUGUGAUGUUUUUCUUAGGUGUUUGUUGUUAAGAGUAAUAGUUGUAUAAAAUUAGUUGGAAGAUAUUCUCUUUACAUCUACUUGUACAAAAAAAGAAAGAGGAAAAAAAUGCUUUGGAAGUUUUGGAUUGGUUCUCUCUCUAAAUGUUUGGUAGAAUUCACUUGAGUCUGAGCUUUUCUUUAUAGGAAUUUUUUAAUUCUACAUUUAAAAAUUCUUAAAUUCUAAAGUGUCUCCUUAGUGUUGAGCCAGAAUUUGUUUCUUCUUGAGUCAGUUUUAGGAGAUUGUCAUUUCAGCCAGGUGGUCUGGUUAGCUGGGUACAGUUGUUAGAAUGUUCCCUGUUUUCCUUUGGCUGGAAGAAGGUCAGUAGUGGGGUGCCCUUUUUUUGUACCUUCUGUUUUUCCUUCCUGCCUACUAGUUGAGCUAAAGGUUUUUUCAAUUUUGUUGAUAUUUUCAAAUAACCAAUUUUUGCUUUGCAGUGAUUUUCUCAUUUUCCUGUCCCCGUUCUUUCAUUUCUGUUCAAAUCAUGAUUAAUUUCUUUUUCCUGCUUGUGGUGGGUGUAGUUUAUUCUUCUUUUUCUGGGUUAAAAAACUGGGUUAUUAGUCCUAAAGUUCUUUAAUACAGGCAUUUCCAACAAUAAGUCCACGAGCACCAUUUUAGGCGUAGCUUCGGAGACUUGAAAACUAAACACAUCGUUUUCAUUCAGCUCAGAGCAUCUUCCAGCGUCCCUGUGACUUCUUCUCUGCUAUGCGGAAGUGCACUGCUUAAUUUCCACAAGUUGCUUUCUAAAUACUCUCUUCACUGUGGAUUUAAAAGUCAUUCCAUUGUCAUCAAAAAAGAUACUUUGUGUGAUUUCCAUCUUUUUAAACUUAUUGGACCUAUGUUUUGACCUAAAAUAUUGACUUAUCUUAGAGAUUGUUCUGUGUACAUUUUAAAAGAAUAUUCUGAUGUGGUUCAGUGGAGAGUUCCAUGGGUGUAUAUUAGAACUAGUUGGUUUAUACUGUUGUUCAAGUCUUCUUUCUCCUUGUCCAUCUGCCUAGUUUUUCUGCCUAGCUUUUCAUUGGAAAUAAGAGUAUUAUUGUUACAUUGUCUGUCCUUCUUUUCAGUUCUGACAGGUUGUGCUCUACAAUUUGUAAAGCUCUGUUAGGUGCAUAUAUUUAUAAUUUUUAUGUCUUCCUGAUGGAUUGACCCAUUUGCAUGAUAAAAUAUUUUGUCUCAUAUUUGGUGAUUGUUUAAUUGUCUUGGGAUCUAAACUGCCUCUUGUAGGUAGUGUAUACUGGGUCAUUGUUUUUUUUAUCCAUUAUGGUUCUCCUUGCCUUUUGAUCAGAGUAUUGAAUUCAUUUAGUGUUUUGUUUUGCUGGGGGGGGGGUACUAGGGAUUGAACUCAGGGGCACUUAACCACUGAGCCACAUCCCCAGCCUUAAUUUGUAUUUUAUUUAGAGACAGGGUCUCACUGAGUUGCUUAGGGCUUCACUUUUGCUGAGGCUGGCUUUGAACUAAUGAUCCUCCUGCCUCAGCCUCCUGAGCCGCUGGGAUUACAGCGGUGCACCACCACAAAUAUUUCCUGUAGAAUGUGUCAGGUAGCAGUAAAUUCUCUCAAUUUGGAUAUUUUUUUAAAAAUCUGGGAAUGUUUUAAUUUCAUCUUUAUUUUUGAAAGAUAAUUUUGCUGUACCUGAGAUUUCCAGACUUUUUAAAUACUUUGAAUAUUUCUCCCUCUUGACCUUCCUGGUUUUGAAUAAGAAAUCAGCUACAAAUAUUUUUUGAGCAUCCCCUGUACGUGAUAAGUUGUUUUUCUUGUGCUGUUUUGAAGAUGCUUUGUCUUUGGCAUUUGACCUUGACUAUGAUGAACCUAGGCCUUUUGAAUGAAUUUUCCUUAGAGUUAAAUUUUUCAGAUAUGUGGGUGCAUGUUUUCCAUCCCAUUUAUAAGUUUGGAUGCAUCAGGGCUUCAAACAUACUCUCCCUCCUCCUUGUGUCCUGUGUUUGUACUCGCAUGAUCUGUGUGUUGUCAUGCUGGAUGCUCUUGCACAGAUCUCUGAAGUUCUGUGUAUUUUCUUCAUUCUCUUUGAUUCUCAGACUAGAUAUCUCUGUUGACCUGUCUCAAGUUCACUGACUCAUCUGCAAGCUCAGUUCUGCUACUGAGCCCUCUAGGGUGGAAUUUUUUUUUUAAUAUUUUUAGUUGUAGAUGGACACAAUACGUUUAUUUUACUUAGGU